This is a long non-coding RNA of Oncorhynchus tshawytscha (Chinook salmon), 553 nucleotides long. Lineage: Eukaryota; Metazoa; Chordata; Actinopteri; Salmoniformes; Salmonidae. The record is from Ensembl.
GUCCGAGUUCCAAGUCCUGUUGGGGCGCUACAGCAAGCCAGUGCAGACAGUCAGAAUCCUGGAUGUCCUGGACAAAAAGUCACUGAAUGGGUCUGCAGGCGGAGUGGAGGAGGUACAACUCAUACCCCAAACUAGGCUUCAGGACAUCAUCUCCAUCUCCACCUGGCUGAUAGGUGAGGAUGCAGAUCUGACAGCUAAGAGGAGAGUCUCUGCCAGCAAAUUCAAAACACGGUCACUGGAAAGAAACCCAUCCCACCACUCUCUGGGAAAACUGGAGCCCAGCAGCUUUUUCACCAAUAAGUCCUACUGCUCCAAACUUAAAACACAGUCUCUAGGCAGAAAGCCAUCAAUAGAAAACAAGCCAUCAAUGGACUCUCUUGGAAAACUGAAAGCAAACAGCCUGUUCACCAAGAUGAUCGGCCUGAAGUCAUUUGGUAAAUUCAAAACGCUGUCCCUGGACAGAAAGCCAUCACUAGACAAGAAUCCAUCACUAGACUCCCUUGGAAAACUGGAAUCCAGUAGCUCUUUCACCAAGGUAUCCACCUCAAAGCCG